AUUGAACGCUGGCGGCAUGCCUUACACAUGCAAGUCGAACGGCAGCACGGGUGCUUGCACCUGGUGGCGAGUGGCGAACGGGUGAGUAAUACAUCGGAGCGUACCUUAUCGUGAGGGAUAACGCAGCGAAAGUUGCGCUAAUACCGCAUACGCCCUGAGGGGGAAAGCGGGGGACCGUAAGGCCUCGCGCGAUGAGAGCGGCCGAUGUCUGAUUAGCUUGUUGGUGAGGUAAAAGCUCACCAAGGCGAUGACCAGUAGCUGGUCUGAGAGGACGAUCAGCCACACUGGGACUGAGACACGGCCCAGACUCCUACGGGAGGCAGCAGUGGGGAAUUUUGGACAAUGGGGGCAACCCUGAUCCAGCAAUGCCGCGUGAGUGAAGAAGGCCUUCGGGUUGUAAAGCUCUUUUGUCAGGGAAGAAACAGCAGCUCUAACACAGUCUGCGAAUGACGGUACCUGAAGAAUAAGCACCGGCUAACUACGUGCCAGCCGCCGCCGUAA
This 501-nucleotide ribosomal RNA is filed under the name uncultured bacterium. RNAcentral's name for it is "partial 16S ribosomal RNA". It matches the Rfam family "Bacterial small subunit ribosomal RNA", at positions 30 to 523 of the family's 1533-position model. The record is from RNAcentral.